This 426-nucleotide ribosomal RNA is filed under the name Triticum aestivum (bread wheat). RNAcentral describes it as "partial small subunit ribosomal RNA". Lineage: Eukaryota; Viridiplantae; Streptophyta; Magnoliopsida; Poales; Poaceae. The record is from RNAcentral.
AUGCUAUCACAACUUGACUUCAAAAUAUUUUGUUUGGAGACCAUCAAACAUCGAUAUGUGCAUGAUGCUGAUUUUAAAGAUGUAUUGCAGAAUUGUAAAGAAGGAAGAACAUGGAACAACUUCGUCGUUAAUGAUGGAUUUGUGUUUCGUGCUAACAAGCUAUGUAUUCCAGCUAGCUCCGUUCGUAUUUUGUUGUUGCAGGAGACACAUGGAGGAAGAUUAAUGGGACACUUUAGCGUGAAGAAGACGGAGGACUUACUUGCUACACAUUUCUUUUGGCCAAAGAUGACACGGGAUGUUGAGCGCUUUGUUGCUCGCUGCACUACAUGUCAAAAAGCUAAGUCACGACUCAAUCCUCAUGGUUUAUAUAUGCCUUUGCCUGUACCUAGUGUUCCUUGGGAGGAUAUAUCUAUGGCUUUGUUUUAG